RNAcentral lists this unclassified non-coding RNA (426 nucleotides) under soil metagenome. RNAcentral's name for it is "partial contains 5.8S ribosomal RNA, internal transcribed spacer 2, and large subunit ribosomal RNA". The stretch from base 2 to 121 matches the Rfam family "5.8S ribosomal RNA", at positions 35 to 154 of the family's 154-position model. The record is from RNAcentral.
GGAUGAAGAACGUAGCGAAAUGCGAUAAGUAGUGUGAAUUGCAGAAUUCCGUGAAUCAUCGAAUCUUUGAACGCACAUUGCGCCUUCUGGUAUUCCGGAAGGCAUGCCUGUUCGAGAGUCAUUAACAACCGUUUCGAUCCCUUUCUUUCAGAAAUUACAAAGAGGAAAAGGGUUUGGUUAUGGUGGAGGAGGGAAAGGGAGCGUUUAGCCUGUAAAAAAAGAGGCUGUGUUCCGCCUCCCCCCCAAAAUGGUACAGGCGGUCGUGUGCGCCCACGCAUCGAGGUGUUGUAAAAGCUGCCACGGCACUUUUCACCUGUGCAGUGCGAGAUUGGCCAGCCGGUUUAAAAACCCCUCCAAACAAUCAAAGGUUGACCUCGGAUCAGGUAGGGAUACCCGCUGAACUUAAGCAUAUCAAUAAGCGGAGGA